RNAcentral lists this ribosomal RNA (399 nucleotides) under Triticum aestivum (bread wheat). Its description in RNAcentral is "partial small subunit ribosomal RNA". The record is from RNAcentral. Lineage: Eukaryota; Viridiplantae; Streptophyta; Magnoliopsida; Poales; Poaceae.
AUGCCAACGACGACAGACGGCGCGGAGGUGUUCAUCGCUUUUAACUAUAACAACGUAAGCGCGGGGGCUGCGGCGGCCUUUGACGCCGCCUCCGGCCGGCUCGUCAACGCCACCGCCGACUAUGCAGCCAGGUGCACGCCGGACAUGACGGUGGCCGACUGCCGGACCUGCCUCCGGCACAUAAUUGGGGAAUUUACCCCCGAGUAUUUUGUCGGGAAGCCAGGCGGGAGAGUCUUCGGUGUGCGCUGCAACUUCCGGUUCGUGACGUAUUCUUUCUUCUCUGGGCACCCACUGCUACAAGUCCCGGCCGUGUUGCCGCCUUUGCCGGCGCCGGCGCCGGCCGCAACCGGAGAAGGAGAAAACUGGCAAAGAGAAAGCCGUCAGUACAAUAUAUGUUAA